CCCCUUUCAGGUAGGUAGACGGUUCGUGAAUGAGGUACAAAGCCCUUCAACCUCAGGAACGUAAAUGCAUGUGGAAUUGGUUUGAGACACAGUAAUGGCUUUGUGUGGAAAAGACCCAUUUUGACAAUAUCAGAAGUGAGGAACUGCAGAAAGGAAAAGCAGAGCAGUCAGAGGAUGCAUGUCCUCCAAUAUCUCCUGCCUUUUACAUAGCACAGCCUAGGUGAAACGCAUAUGCUCUAGGACUGUACUGCCCAGAAGAAGAGAGCUGAAGAGAGCUCAGCAAUAGGACUGCACAAUACAAAUGCAAUGCAGCUGUUUGUUCAUUACCUAAGGAAUUUAAGCUAUUCUUCCUCAGGGCCACACUAAAGCAUAGUUUCAGGGACAGGUCACUUUUAGGUAACCUUACCUCACUCUUCUUGUGUGUCCUGCAGCCUGAGCGAGAGCAGGGGACAGAACCUCAUGUAAAGCCAGGGCUGGAGGAGGAUGGCACGCAGCGCACCCACGCCCUCCUUGGCAGCCAGGGCUGAGUGCCUGCUAUCCUCUAGAGGGUGCUGCGGGCUCAGCCAGCCUGAAUCCCGGCUCUGACACAGGUGAGCGAUGCUGACUGUCAGCAGCUGUGAGCUGGAGUGGGUCCCACCGCCUGCGGGUCCUGCAGCCACAGCAGUGCAGGAGGAAGAGGAGGAGGAAGGUGCCCUCGGCUCCAUCACCUGUCAGCAUCCUUCUCCAUGCUCCUGUCUUGUCACCCAUCCUCUCCCCAGCACUUGCAGGCCGUAUCUGUGUGACAUCAAUUGUGCUGGGUAAUUUUAGGCCAGCUGCAUCUCAACUCUUACACUAGCUGAUGUUACGGACAGAAAAGAGAGAAAAUCAAAGCUGAAAGAGAGCCAGAGCAUUUCAGGAGCCCAAAUCCUAUUUUCCAUAGCAGUGUGGGUUUCAGCAGUCUGACAGCCAUCAACUUGCAGCCAGACUAGCUCUUAACACUCAGUUUUGCAGAGGAACAGCCUAAUUCCCCUUCAGCAAACAGCCUGUGUCAGCUACAUUGCUUGCAGAACUCCCACUUUGCUGUGUGUGUCAUUUAGGUGUGCAACUGCUCAUAAAUCACCAAGUCCACCUAUGCAGAGAAUACUGGAUUUUCUGUUGGGAUAUGCCUUUCUUACUUCCUAACUGAGUAAAGCACUGAAUUCUUCUGUAACAUCUAAAUAACCUAGAGAUGUUUUGCAGAGGGGAAGCAUCCUGGUAGAUUGGAGGUAUUAACCUUAUGGAGG
RNAcentral lists this long non-coding RNA (1262 nucleotides) under Coturnix japonica (Japanese quail). Its description in RNAcentral is "lncRNA (ENSCJPG00005014278.1)". The record is from RNAcentral. Lineage: Eukaryota; Metazoa; Chordata; Aves; Galliformes; Phasianidae.